GCACGCUAAUGGAGGCACGGGGCGGAGGCUGCGUGGCGCGAGUGUCCCCCGGGGAGGUCCCGGUCCUUGCAGCCCGCGGCCGCGUCCUUGGCCCUCCUCCAGAGGAACCUCGAUUUUUCCAAUGUCAGGAAGGCCGGCUGUCCUUCGGCUACUGAUAAGGACGCGGCCGCAUGGUAAAAGAUUUUAACAAUGCCCGGAAAGAAAUAGCCGGACCCAAGAAAGAGACUAAUAAUAGCAGCCCGCUAGAGUUCUGCUCGUGUGCUCAGCGCUCUUAAGAACAAUAAUAACGACAGCAACCGUAAGAGCCACCAUUUAUUGAGCGCUUACUCUGUGCCACGCACUGUGUUAAGCGUUUUGCAGAAAACAACCCUCGGAGCCCUGAGAGGAGUGCCGCAUUAUUCUCCUUUUGAUAAAAGAGGCCACAAGACUGGUAAAUGGGCAUCCACUGGGAGGACCCAACUUUAAAGCAAUGUUCCCAUCACCAGAAUGUACGAGCUGAUCCAGUUGAACAGAAGAGGAACUGAUGUCCGAAGUAAGCAGCCCAGGCUAGUACAGCAGUCCCAUGACCAUCAGGGACCCAGGCGCCUUCUACCUGGGGCUCUCCAUCGUCAGCACACGCCUUCCACUAGUGACCCAAGACGGCUGACAGAGGAAGAAGCAGCAAAGAAGAGAGAGCCCCAUCUCCUCAAAGGAUGCUUCCUGGAAUUCACAUGCAUCACGCCUGCUCGUACCCCUCUGGCCAGAACUAAGCCCCACGGCCCCCUGGGAAAUAGGAUUUAUCUGAGUAGAGCUUUUAUUACUAUAGAAAAAGGGGGACACAGAUUUUGGAGGGCUAACUGGCCUCUCUGCCAUUUUACAAACAUCUUUGCAGGGCACCUAGUUGUAUAUCCCUUUUUUUUUUCUCUUAUUUUUUGGUGAAUGUUUGACCACGGCAUUAUAAAUUCUUCCAUUUUUAGGGGCACCUGGGUGGCACAGCAGUUAAGCGUCUGCCUUCGGCUCAGGGCGUGAUCCCGGCAUU
Molecule: long non-coding RNA, 1018 nt
Organism: Ailuropoda melanoleuca (giant panda)
Lineage: Eukaryota; Metazoa; Chordata; Mammalia; Carnivora; Ursidae
Exons: 3
Source: RefSeq, a predicted model, not a curated record